Molecule: ribosomal RNA, 207 nt
Filed under: uncultured bacterium
Lineage: Bacteria
Description: partial 16S ribosomal RNA
Rfam family: Bacterial small subunit ribosomal RNA
Source: RNAcentral
AGCGCAGGCGGGAGAACAAGUUGGAAGUGAAAUCCAUGGGCUCAACCCAUGAACUGCUUUCAAAACUGUUUUUCUUGAGUAGUGCAGAGGUAGGCGGAAUUCCCGGUGUAGCGGUGGAAUGCGUAGAUAUCGGGAGGAACACCAGUGGCGAAGGCGGUCUACUGGGCACCAACUGACGCUGAGGCUCGAAAGCAUGGGUAGCAAACA